RNAcentral lists this long non-coding RNA (1218 nucleotides) under Capsicum annuum. Its description in RNAcentral is "long non-coding RNA (CANN_LNC009410)". The record is from RNAcentral. Lineage: Eukaryota; Viridiplantae; Streptophyta; Magnoliopsida; Solanales; Solanaceae.
CCUCACAUUUCUUCUCCAAAAAUUUUUUUAAAAAAAGGAUAUACAUGGGACACACACACAAUUCACGGAGAGCUCACCAUUUUUUUUAUACACACACAGACGAAAAAAAAAAAAGAGCUGAGGCACAUAUACACAGACCUCCAUUUAUUUUAUUUUCCUUGCUCUCACCAUGAACCCGCAGAUUACACAUAAAACCCUUCAUGGAUGAACAUUUCAACAUAGCUUGAUGUUCCAUUAACACCAAAAAAAGAAAAAAAAUUAAAGAUGGCAACACACACUCACAUACUCUCCACCCAUCAUCACUCUCACAUCCCACCCAUCCACCACGGAGGCACACAAAGAGAGCUAGAGAGAAAACACACACUACACGGAGAGAUUCGAGAAUGCUACAGAAAAACUGUGAGAGAAAGAAGUAGAAAAAAACUGUAGGAAGGAACGAAAUUUUAGAUCGCCAGUCACUGUUCCGGCAAUCUACUCACCGAAAAAAAUCCACCCACAACUCGCCGGAAUCCAACCAAUUUUAGUCAGUUUCUUUCACUGUUAGCUCACCAAAGUCUAUUUGUCGAGGUUCUCAGUUCUCCGUCGAGAAUUGGGUUUGAGUUUCGUCGUUGUUGUUUGAAAUGGGUCGGUCAAUUUUGUUCAAGUUAGUUCGAGUUUUGGGUUAUUGAAGUCGGGAGUUCGUUGUUGGGGAAUUUUUGUUCAAGGUAUUCUGGCGCCGCUCCGUCAAACAUUUCAAUUGAAAUAAUACGUCAAAUUUGAGGUCCAUUUUCAAUCUUUGCUUUUUACUUAUUAUUUCAUUGUUCAUAAUAGUCCGUGUUAUGGUUUGGACGUUGUCUAUUGUUUGAGCUUUGUUGAUGGUGAAUAAUUUCUUGGUUUUUAUUCAUUGAUUGAUUUCGUUGAUUAUGAAUUGUAUGAUAAAAUGGUAUUUCGCAUUUGAGAAUUAAAAUUAAUUGUUUGGGGAUGAGUGGAACGAGAACUGACACUUGAUAAAAAUGUUAAUUUUGGUUGGUUUGAUUCAUGAGUUAUUGUUUGACUUGAAAUGAACGUUAAUCAAACUCGAUAGUAUCAUAAUAUGUUGAAAUGGAUAGGGAAACAUAGGUUGGGUAGGCAAAGUUUAGAAUUUGUGGUUUUGUUGAAUGGUUUGGUUUUGUCGUAUUGAAAAGAUGUAUUUAUUUUACCGAGGGAUGCCUCAGGACCUUUUGUGCUUAUUUACUGGGG